GGCCUAACACAUGCAAGUCGAGCGGUUGAGGUAGCUUGCUACCGAUGCAGCGGCGGACGGGUGAGUAAUACAUGGGAAUCUGCCUGGUAGUGGGGGACAACGUUUCGAAAGGAACGCUAAUACCGCAUACGCCCUACGGGGGAAAGGGGGGGAUCUUCGGACCUCUCGCUAUCAGAUGAGCCCAUGUCGGAUUAGCUUGUUGGUGAGGUAAAGGCUCACCAAGGCGACGAUCCGUAACUGGUCUGAGAGGAUGAUCAGUCACACUGGAACUGAGACACGGUCCAGACUCCUACGGGAGGCAGCAGUGGGGAAUAUUGGACAAUGGGCGCAAGCCUGAUCCAGCCAUGCCGCGUGUGUGAAGAGGGCCUUAGGGUUGUAAAGCAC
RNAcentral lists this ribosomal RNA (384 nucleotides) under uncultured organism. Its description in RNAcentral is "bacterial SSU rRNA". It matches the Rfam family "Bacterial small subunit ribosomal RNA", at positions 45 to 433 of the family's 1533-position model. The record is from RNAcentral.